Molecule: RNase P RNA, 338 nt
Filed under: Candidatus Campbelliibacteriota bacterium
Lineage: Bacteria; Candidatus Campbelliibacteriota
Description: Candidatus Campbellbacteria bacterium RNase P RNA component class A
Rfam family: Bacterial RNase P class A
About the family: Ribonuclease P (RNase P) is a ubiquitous endoribonuclease, found in archaea, bacteria and eukarya as well as chloroplasts and mitochondria. Its best characterised activity is the generation of mature 5'-ends of tRNAs by cleaving the 5'-leader elements of precursor-tRNAs.
Source: RNAcentral
AUGCUUGGUUGAACGAUUGCGUACAUACAUAGGUGAUGUAUGAGGAAAAUCCGGACACCCCCGAAGAAAUUCGGAGCAGGAUGGCGGGUAACGCCCGUCCGCUGCAAAGCGAGGGAUGCGAGCAGAGACGCCACAAAUCGAGAGAUAUGUGGCACCUCAUUUGAGGUGAGCUUGUAUGGUGACAUACGAGGUGAAACGGCAAAAAUCCCAUCUGGGUGCAAGACCGUGUCGUCUUAAUUGGCGGAGUGUCGCAUGAGGUUUGCGGUAACGCAGAUCCCAGAUAAAUAAUCGUUGUCUCGCAAGAGAUACAGAAUCCGGUUUAUAGAUCAAGCGCCAAA